This 253-nucleotide ribosomal RNA is filed under the name uncultured bacterium. RNAcentral's name for it is "partial 16S ribosomal RNA". It matches the Rfam family "Bacterial small subunit ribosomal RNA", at positions 524 to 776 of the family's 1533-position model. The record is from RNAcentral.
UACGUAGGGGGCAAGCGUUGUCCGGAUUUAUUGGGCGUAAAGCGCUCGCAGGUGGUUCGAUGCGUCGUGCGUGAAAGACCCCGGCUCAACUGGGGAGUGUCGUGCGAUACGGUCGGACUGGAGGCCAGUAGGGGGAUGCGGAAUUCCGGGUGUAGUGGUGGAAUGCGUAGAGAUCCGGAGGAACACCGGUGGCGAAGGCGGAUCUCUGGGCCUUACCUGACGCUGAGGCGCGAAAGCUAGGGGAGCGAACAGG